Cavia porcellus (domestic guinea pig) is the source of this 1968-nucleotide long non-coding RNA. RefSeq lists it as uncharacterized. The transcript is spliced from 7 exons. Lineage: Eukaryota; Metazoa; Chordata; Mammalia; Rodentia; Caviidae. The record is from RefSeq and is a predicted model, not a curated record.
CCUGAGGAGCUCACCUUGCUCGAUUUCAUCCUCUCGCUCGGCCAGUUGCUCGAAGUCGCGGAUGACGGCGCGGGCCGCCAGGUGGUGGAAGGUCUCAUUCCACAGGUCAACAGUUGACUGUAAGGACUUCUGCAUCCCUGUCCAGUCGUUAUUGGGAAGGAGAGUGUGCCGUCCCAUUAAACAAGAGCUGUCUUCCUGUCUCUGGGCCUGGGGUCUUAGGAUUGGACAAGUGUGUGUGAUAAAAAGGAGACCGGCCACGCUUAGGAUGGCCUCUGUGGAAGCUGGUUCUUAGCUACGGCUGGUGGAACGUCUGAGGCCAGAGAGAUGGAGUACCACGUGGGAGAAGAGUCUGCCUGACUCCAAGGCCAAUGUCUUCUGAUUUUAUCAGGCAGUCCCUGGCUGAGCACAGAAAAGAGCCUCAGGGAUAAGAUGUGCUGGCCACAAGUCGGUUCUGGAUAACUCUGCUCCUGCCCAGGACAUUUGGCAGUGUCUGAAGCAUUUUUGGUUGUCAUGACUGGGGCUAUUGUUCUUACUGGCCUCCAGUAGGCAGACCCCCUUUCCCCAGCCAAGAAUUAUCCUCGCAAUAGUGCUUGAGGCUGGGAAGCCAUGGUCUGGGAACACUGGUGACUCUUUCUGCUGUGGCUCUGACCUUCUGCUUCUCUCCGCUGAGACUGACCGGAGAAGCAGGGCGAUGGACAUGAAAGCAAGGCAGAUGGUCCUGGCUUGAAUUCCCUGCCUGUGUGACUCUGGUCAGCGGCUUUCUCUCUCUCUCUAGCUGUCAGUUUCCACAUGUGUGCCGAGUGGGGGUGUCUGGCCCCCAAACUCCUUCUUUCCCAGGGCCACUAUAAAAUCUAAUGGCACAGUAGAGGCAGAUGCUGAGUUCCAUCUGGUGAGUGCUGUGUGCAGGGAACGGGGGUUCUCAUUAGCUAGUGAGUGUCUCAAUUAGGAAGGUGUCACUGGGGUUGGGUAGAUGAAGGUCAGAGGAGGAGGGAGGGCGUGGCUGACUCCUUUCCCUAAACUAGUGGCUGCCUGUUCUCAGUAGGUAAUUAAUUCAUAAAAGCACUUUGAACAGAAACUGAUACCAUAAAGGGACUUUAGGGCCAGGAAGCUCUGGAUUCUGUAUUCUACCAAGUAUCAACUUGCCCAUGCAAGCGAUGGGCAGACUUAGCCUUAUGAUUCAAGAACGGUACACAGCUCUCCCCCAGCCAGGGGCGUCCCCAGCUCCUCUCCAGCCUGCCUACCUUGGGUAUCUGCAAAUCAGUCGGCCACCGCUGGCCAUCCAGGCUGGUCUGAUUGGUGAGGUCCUGCAGCUUGGCUUUCCGCAGUGGGUGUCUCCUGGAAGAUGCUGUGGGCUCACUGGCAGUGGUGGCCCUUGGGCACGGCUUGUGGGUGGUGAUCUGGUUGGUGCUAUAUGCCCUCCGUCGCCGGGAGAGGUCCAGACCUGGGCAAGGGAGGUGAGUGGGAAGCCAUCAGGGAAGAAGAGGGGCUUGCACACCCUCUUCCUGCUGGGAACAUCCUGAGUUCCAAUCUGGGUGCCACCUGGAAUGUGUGUAGGUCCCUGUACCAGCUUCAGAACCUUGGAAGAACUUCAGAACCUGUGUCCCCUUCUAAAGCAUCGUGUGUUGCAGAUCAGGAACUAAAAUGAGCAAAAUGGAUCACUGGUUCCUUCAUUCCAUUCCUCAUGACAUAAACGUACAUAGAAAUAGAUUUUCUUUCCUGGACCAAUGCUUUGGGAUGUAAGGAUUACUGGCACUGGGUGAAUGUCACUGUAGCAAGAGUUAUUUCUUCUGGAUGUGUGUCGUCCUGCCCUUGGCUCAGGAAAAUGCUGUCCUGACAUCCACGCGUAGAAGGGACUGAUGUGCCCCAUCCUUACCUCACUGUAGGUCUGGCUGGAAGGGAAGACCGUCUUAAACAUGGAUCCGAAUCCAAUGACAUUGAAGAGGCAGUUUGGCAUGAGGCUCUUCAGGG